CUGUGUUUAAUACGCAUGCGUUGGCCUGAACGGGUCCCUCAUCUCUCUCUGCUUUAUUCAUCCGGAGUUUUCUUACAGGAUAUUGUGUGUACCAUGUGACCCCCGGGCUGAGAGACUGUGAUGGAAAGGGAUCGCUACAUGAGCCCCAUGGAGGCGCAGGACUUUGGUCUUAUCGACCGGGUCCUGGUCCAUCCCCCUCAGGCAGGCCAGGAUGAGCCUGAGCUGGUGCAGAAAGAACCACCAGCAGCAGCAGCAGCCAGUCCCUCUCCACAGCCGGAGUCUCCAGCUGCUGAGCAGGUUUCCCCUGGGACAAAUCCCCCCUCCUCAUACAAACCUGAGCCAUGAGCCCACCACAGAGCUGCCACGAGUUGAUACCUGGCAGUUCCUGAGAACAAGGCCAAGUUGUGUUUGUCUUGUCUGAAGUGGCUUCUUUCUUCCCCUUAACCAACGCUGUGCGAUCUCCAUAUGUGAUUGUCUGUCUUUUGUCUGUGUGUCAGCCCUGUGGUGGUUUUUGUUGAAUCAGACAGAAUAUAAUUUCAAGUCUGGAGACACACUGGUCUGCUUUGCAAAGUUGUGUCUUCACUACAGAAGCAACAGCGCCCUCUGCUGUUGAAAAGGAGAGGAAGAAAAUACUUAGAACACCUGGUGCUUUCACACUUUCUGUCAUCCGAGCACUGACCAAGUCUCACCCGUGCUUAGCUUUUAAGAUGAGACAUGUUCAAGCAUUCAGAGGAUUACAGACAAUACAGGCAUGGGUGCUACAAACAAACUGUUGAAAAUCAUCAUUAGACUUUUAUUUGCCAUUAUACAUUCAUCUGCCGCUGCAGCUGGAGAAGAAGUGUCUUUCCUAUAACAUGUUCCUCCGAGAUUUAAAAUUUAAUCAUUGGAUACAAUGUUCAGGGUGCUAACCAUUACACCAUGGAACCACUUCAAAGCUCUAGAUUUUCCUGCAUAGAAAGUCAUUUUAUCAUUCUAACUUUAAACAGGCUGACAAUGUAGAAGCUUAAGGUGCCACUGCUCCCAAAAUGUUUUCAGAGGUGGGACUUGAGUCCACACCACCAGGGCAAACUGCAAUAUGAAUACAGAACUUUAGACCACUCAGCCAUCCUAACUCCUUUAACAGCUUCUGUCCUAAUACAAAUCACUUAGUAAAUAAAGCCUUACGUACCACCAUGUGCACUGGGAAUAAAAAAAAAUGGAACAGAUCCCUACAUGAUAUUACCAUGUGUGUUAUACAGCCAGUGAAGCAGUGGUUACCUUUGUGGUGGGAGUCAAACAGGACACUCAGAUUUGGAGCGUGUUUGAGUGAUUACUCAAGUGAAUUUCCAACUCUUAAGACGUACAAAUGACAUACUCUCAAUUUAAAUUGAAAUUUACAGGCUCCAGAUUUUGAAUGCCUUCACUGUCUCCAAAUUUGGGCUAGCCACUGGCUAGCUGGUGUCUCAUUCAUUUCCAAGAAAAGCAGUCAGACGUUAACAGUAAACCUUACUGUUGCAAAACAACUUACUGAGUAAGAAUCUUCAGUGUGCAGAUGAGAAGAACUCAUCAGUAAGGUUUAGCUUACACAAAUGAAGAAACUGCUCCUUUAUGAAGAUUUAUCCAUUGCAGAGAAGUUGUAUUGUCUCUUUAAUUAGUCCUUAAGAUCAGCUUCCACUGAGAUGUGAACUCAGCUCAUUGCUCAUUGAGUCCAGCACACUAAUCAUUACACCACAGGACCACAUGCAGUGUC
This is an RNA transcript of Scatophagus argus, 1729 nucleotides long. It is a transcript of the gene named ATP-dependent Clp protease proteolytic subunit, mitochondrial-like, with no coding region annotated. NCBI's taxonomy places the organism in Eukaryota, Metazoa, Chordata, Actinopteri, Scatophagidae. The transcript has 2 exons. The record is from RefSeq and is a predicted model, not a curated record.